Molecule: ribosomal RNA, 253 nt
Filed under: uncultured bacterium
Lineage: Bacteria
Description: partial 16S ribosomal RNA
Rfam family: Bacterial small subunit ribosomal RNA
Source: RNAcentral
UACGUAGGGGGCAAGCGUUGUCCCGAUUUAUUGGGCGUAAAGAGCGUGUAGGCGGCCAUACAGGUCCGUUGUGAAAACUGGAGGCUUAACCUCCAGACGUCGAUGGAAACCGUAUGGCUAGAGUCCGGAAGAGGAGAGUGGAAUUCCUGGUGUAGCGGUGAAAUGCGCAGAUAUCAGGAAGAACACCCGUGGCGAAGGCGGCUCUCUGGGACGGUACUGACGCUGAGACGCGAAAGCGUGGGGAGCGAACAGG